Molecule: long non-coding RNA, 546 nt
Filed under: Brassica napus (rape)
Lineage: Eukaryota; Viridiplantae; Streptophyta; Magnoliopsida; Brassicales; Brassicaceae
Description: long non-coding RNA (BNAP_LNC019705)
Source: RNAcentral
UUUAUUGUAUUUGGAUCAUCAAUAUAUUAUAUUUGGUUUAUAAAUCUUCUAAAUUAGUAUGGUUGUCUAAAUAAUCACAAUAUACAUUUUUCUUAAAGCAAAUUUAUUAUGAUUUGAAAAUAAAUAUUAAUUUGCAAAUGUCUUUUUGUCGAAUUAAUUGUUCUACAAGUAAUUUUUCAAAACUUGAAAAUAUAUAUAACAUAGUUAUUGUGAUUACCACAAAGUGAGAAUUAUAUAAAUAACAUAAUAUUGUAACUCUUGAAAAGAAAAAAAUGGAUCCAUCUAUAUUAUGGAAAAGAUUGGAACUAUAUUUUGUGCUAAUGUUAAAUCCAAUGUCAUGUUAAAUUAAUGAAUGGUUCAUAUAGUAAUAUAACUAAUUAGCUUUAGAAAAUAACAGUUAUAUCAACGUUAAUAGAAAAAAGAGACAAAGCGAUCAUAAUAUUUGUUAGGAUUUCGUUGAUUCCUUCCAGGUCCUUCAAAUUUUUUUUGUUAUUUAUACCUAAAUAAAGAUUUAAAAGCUUUUAGGAUUCACGAGUAUGUUGAAGU